CCCUUAGAUGUUCUCGGCCGCACACGCGCUACACUGAAAGAGGCAACGUGUUUGCCUGAUUCGAAAGAAUUGGGUAACCCCCUAAUCUCUUUCGUGCUGGGGAUUGAGGUUUGCAAUUAUCCUUCAUGAACGAGGAAUUCCCAGUAAGUGCGAGUCAUUAUCUCGCGCUGACUACGUCCCUGCCCUUUGUACACACCGCCCGUCGCUACUACCGAUUGAAUGAUGUAGUGAGGACUUCGGACUGAGUCCAAUGCGGCUUUCGGGCUGCGUUGGUAUUUCGGAAAGAUGUCCAAACUGUAUCAUUUAGAGGAAGUAAAAGUCGUAACA
RNAcentral lists this ribosomal RNA (327 nucleotides) under uncultured eukaryote. Its description in RNAcentral is "partial 18S ribosomal RNA". It matches the Rfam family "Eukaryotic small subunit ribosomal RNA", at positions 1470 to 1796 of the family's 1831-position model. The record is from RNAcentral.